UUACUGCCGUGGCCACUUAUCUGAUUUUCUUGCUCUGAGGGACUUUCGCAGAGGACAACCAGAAAACUGCUACAUUUUUUGGAAAACGAGAGAUGAAAGGAAGAGACGGGAGGGCUUGUUGCAUCGUUAAAUGACUCCCAUAUUCUUUUUUUCAUCUCCGACUCCUGGAAACGAGUCAGUCUUCGUCUGCUGACUGAGGAAGUAACCAUGGUGACAAAUGUUACAGAUGCAGCACUGGGCGGGUCUAUAGGCCGCCGAGCCCCCAGAACGCUCCUAGUUUUUCCAGACCCUCAUCGUUUCAGCUGACGUGGCCACACCUAAGUGACAGAAAGCAAAAAAAGGAAGACAAAGAAAAGGGCAGGGGAGCUGUCGGAUACCCGAGGGCCAAGCUUUAAACACCUUCUGCGCUGCCUGUAUUUGUGCACAUUGUUAGCCAUUAAAAAAAAAAACAUUUGCACCUUUUUGCAUUCAACGGCGUCUAAA
Long non-coding RNA from Micropterus dolomieu (smallmouth bass), 483 nucleotides. RefSeq lists it as uncharacterized. The record is from RefSeq and is a predicted model, not a curated record. The transcript has 2 exons. NCBI's taxonomy places the organism in Eukaryota, Metazoa, Chordata, Actinopteri, Centrarchiformes, Centrarchidae.